This 445-nucleotide ribosomal RNA is filed under the name uncultured organism. RNAcentral's name for it is "partial 16S ribosomal RNA". It matches the Rfam family "Bacterial small subunit ribosomal RNA", at positions 334 to 796 of the family's 1533-position model. The record is from RNAcentral.
CACUCCUGCGGGAGGCAACAGUGGGGAAUAUUGGACAAUGGGCGCAAGCCUGAUCCAGCCAUGCCGCGUGAGUGAUGAAGGCCCUAGGGUUGUAAAGCUCUUUCACCGGUGAAGAUAAUGACGGUAACCGGAGAAGAAGCCCCGGCUAACUUCGUGCCAGCAGCCGCGGUAAUACGAAGGGGGCUAGCGUUGUUCGGAUUUACUGGGCGUAAAGCGCACGUAGGCGGACUAUUAAGUCAGGGGUGAAAUCCCGGGGCUCAACCCCGGAACUGCCUUUGAUACUGGUAGUCUUGAGUUCGAGAGAGGUGAGUGGAAUUCCGAGUGUAGAGGUGAAAUUCGUAGAUAUUCGGAGGAACACCAGUGGCGAAGGCGGCUCACUGGCUCGAUACUGACGCUGAGGUGCGAAAGCGUGGGGAGCAAACAGGAUUAGAAACCCUUGUAGUCC